GCCAUUUUGAAACUGGUAUAGAAGGCACACAUUGAGCAACUCAAGCAUUUUUCUGCCUCCCUCAAUGUUAAAGAACAAGAUGCCUAGUCACUGAGAGGUCAGAGAAAGAAAUCAUCAUGAAAGAGAAGAAAAACAGAUAAAUCUUAAGUAAAGAUCAUGGGAGGCAUGAAUCGAAAUGAUAUUGUCAUUGGAAUAUACCACAGACCAUCUGAAAAGGAGAAAAUAGGUCACCAAGAGAAACUUGAGAGUUUGCAAGAGUAUUUUCAGAACCAUGGAGAAGGUGUUAUAAUAGCACAUUAACCGCUGCUGAAACUGAAAUAAGAAUUGUCAUUUGGACUUCAUGACUUCCGCCAGGCUACACAAUGAACAAUACAGCAUAGGAGGCCACCUGGUGGUGAAAUGACUAAUUAACCAUUUAAUUCUGUGCUUAAAAGUAGGGCAUGGGGAUGAAGACAAUGAUAAGCAAAAUGGAAAAGAAAAUGAGGAAGAUUUGUCUCAUGUGAGCGUGACAAAUAACAGGUGCUAACUGGUACUACAGUGAAGAUGCCCAAGUGACUGGGAAAUUGCUCAGAUUUCAUAAGACAAAUGUUUGUUCCUCUUAGUUUGUAGAUGAUCUGGCUGAAAAAUACACUCUUUACUUUUUUGCCCACCUCAAAAAUCCUCCUCUGAUCACAGGUCACAAUGAUACUUUUAAAGUUCUUUUUCAAAAUAUAUUUUUAUCUAUUUCAUAAGUCAAAACUUUAUAGUUAGAAACAUAGUGAAAAAAUCCCCAGUGUGUGGCUGGCACAGCCUACUGUUAUAUGAGGAUUUCACAGUAGAAGAAAAAAUCGACUGUAUUCCCAUGACCACCCCUUCCUAAUUCUCUAGUAACAACCACUUUUUAUUACUUCCCUUUGACAGUGGCUUUAAUCUUGCUUCUUCCUGUACUGUUACUUUAAAAUGUGGUGUGUCUUUUCCCCAACUAGUUAUUUUUACUUUUUUUGUGUGGUUUAAAAAAAAACUUCCUGGAAAUUUUUAUGAUAGACAUGAGUAUGUAGAGAAUGGAAACAAAAGCAAGGUAUUUGAAAUCAUCAGAUAUAAAACAAUGAACUAAGAAAACUGGUUAUAAAAUGUGUGCUCCAAAUGGAAAAUAAGCAACUUAAGUCAUUUUUUUCUGAUAGAAAAUAUCUACUGGGGGAGAUACUUUGUUCCAAAAAAUGAAAGUUACUUUAAUAAAAUACUUUUUUUCCUCUUUGUCAA
This is a long non-coding RNA of Monodelphis domestica (gray short-tailed opossum), 1239 nucleotides long. RefSeq lists it as uncharacterized. The record is from RefSeq and is a predicted model, not a curated record. Lineage: Eukaryota; Metazoa; Chordata; Mammalia; Didelphimorphia; Didelphidae.